RNAcentral lists this ribosomal RNA (253 nucleotides) under uncultured bacterium. RNAcentral describes it as "partial 16S ribosomal RNA". It matches the Rfam family "Bacterial small subunit ribosomal RNA", at positions 524 to 776 of the family's 1533-position model. The record is from RNAcentral.
UACAGAGACUGCAAGCGUUAUUCGGAUUCACUGGGCGUAAAGGGUGCGCAGGUGGGUUUGCAAGUUCGAUGUGAAAGCCCCGGGCUUAACCCGGGAAUGGCAUUGGAUACUGCAGAUCUGGAGGAUCGGAGGGGGGACUGGAAUUCUUGGUGUAGCAGUGAAAUGCGUAGAUAUCAAGAGGAACACCAGUGGCGAAGGCGAGUCCCUGGACGAUACCUGACACUGAGGCACGAAAGCUAGGGGAGCAAACAGG